This 323-nucleotide ribosomal RNA is filed under the name uncultured eukaryote. RNAcentral describes it as "partial 18S ribosomal RNA". It matches the Rfam family "Eukaryotic small subunit ribosomal RNA", at positions 1470 to 1796 of the family's 1831-position model. The record is from RNAcentral.
CCCUUAGAUGUUCUGGGCUGCACGCGUGCUACACUGAUAUUGCCAAUAUGUCAUUCUUAUCUGAAAUGGAUUGGGUAAUCAAGUAAUGAAAUUUCAUGCUUGGAAUCGGUAAUUGCAAUUUUAUCGUGAACGAGGAAUUCCUAGUAAGCACUAGUCAUCAGCUAAUGUUGAUUAUGUCCCUGCCCUUUGUACACACCGCCCGUCGCUACUACUGAUUGGGUGUUCAAGUGAGAUGCUUAGACCCUUGUUGCAUGGUUCAUUAUUGUGCUCCGAAAGGAAAAAGUUUCAAGCUUGAGUGUCUAGAGGAAGUAAAAGUCGUAACA